RNAcentral lists this ribosomal RNA (192 nucleotides) under uncultured prokaryote. Its description in RNAcentral is "partial 16S ribosomal RNA". It matches the Rfam family "Bacterial small subunit ribosomal RNA", at positions 524 to 714 of the family's 1533-position model. The record is from RNAcentral.
GACGAACCGUGCGAACGUUAUUCGGAAUCACUGGGCUUAAAGCGCGUGUAGGCGGGUGGGAACGUCGGCCGCUGAAAUCCCCCGGCUCAACCGGGGAAGUGGCGCCGAAACGGCCCGCCUGGAGGAACGUAGGGGGAGCUGGAACUUCCGGUGGAGCGGUGAAAUGCGUUGAGAUCGGAAGGAACGCCCGUG